Gavialis gangeticus (Gharial) is the source of this 946-nucleotide long non-coding RNA. RefSeq lists it as uncharacterized. NCBI's taxonomy places the organism in Eukaryota, Metazoa, Chordata, Crocodylia, Gavialidae. The record is from RefSeq and is a predicted model, not a curated record. The transcript has 3 exons.
CUGCGCCCCAAGAGACAAUGGAGCCAAGUCUGACAUAUUUUUUCAUAUCUUGGAAGAAUAUUUGGAUCAUGAUAAAGCCAUAUGCACAAGGCAAGACUGCCAAGUGGAGCUAUUUAGGGAUCAACCAAGAACUUCCACCCAAUUGUGAUGAGCCAUAAGGCUGUCUGCAAUCAUAUCAGUGACCUGGUGACUAUGAUUCAUGCCUUCAUGCCUCCCCCAACCCUGCAUGAAAUAUCAUUGUAACUUUCUGUAUCCAACCACAAUAACUGAUCAUUCACAACAGAUUCUUCAAUGAAUCCAGAGUGCAGCAGCUUUCUGUUCAGAAGCAUGAGACAAGUGAACACCUCAAUCUGGUGCAUGGCGCAGCUCAAUGGCCUGUGACAAAAUAUCAGCCAAUUUCAGAAUUAAUCUACAAAGCCAGUUACUGCAUAGUGGUAGAUACUUUGGAGAGUAUCCUUUUCUUCAUAAUGGCAAUCUCCUCUGACAGCUGUGUUGAACAAAAGAAUAGCUCAGUUAUAAUAGUGUUAGCCUCAAACCUGUGACACCCAGGACUUUCAGCAAGUCACACAGACUUAUUAAGCACUUGGAAUUAGGCACCUAAAUAUGAUUCUAUUCCAUCCUGAAACACUGUUUAAAAAGUGUAAUGAGUCCUUCCCCUUUCUCCUCCCUGUUUUUUUUUUUUUUUUUUGUGACUACAUUUAUGUCUAAGUGUGUUUCAAAAACAGCAUCAUAACAGCAUGUUUCAUUGUAUGGGAUGGAGGAGAACUGUAUUGAGUCCUCUUAGGUCAGUACAAUCGACAUAAUAGGAUCUGGCCCAUAAUUUCUCCUGUGUGGGAUCCAUGAGGACACAUGUGCAUCAGCUGUUCCUUUAAGCUACUUGUAAUCUGCAAUUCCUCUAGUACCAUUGGUGUCAAUAUUACAUUUAUGUUAUGAACAUGAAAUGAAU